Long non-coding RNA from Oncorhynchus tshawytscha (Chinook salmon), 610 nucleotides. Lineage: Eukaryota; Metazoa; Chordata; Actinopteri; Salmoniformes; Salmonidae. The record is from Ensembl.
UUUAUUUAUAUAGCCCUUCGUACAUCAGCUGAUAUCUCAAAGUGCUGUACAGAAACCCAGCCUAAAACCCCAAACAGCAAGCAAUGCAGGUGUAGAAGCACGGUGGCUAGGAAAAACUCCCUAGAAAGGCCAAAACCUAGGAAGAAACCUAGAGAGGAACCAGGCUAUGUGGGGUGGCCAGUCCUCUUCUGGCUGUGCCGGGUGGAGAUUAUAACAGAACAUGGCCAAGAUGUUCAAAUGUUCAUAAAUGACCAGCAUGGUCGAAUAAUAAUAAGGCAGAACAGUUGAAACUGGAGCAGCAGCACAGUCAGGUGGAAGUUGAAACUGGAGCAGCAGCAUGGCCAGGUGGACUGGGGACAGCAAGGAGUCAUCAUGUCAGGUAGUGCUGGGGCAUGGUCCUAGGGCUCAGGUCCUCCGAGAGAGAGAAAGAAAGAGAGAAGGAGAGAAUUAGAGAACGCACACUUAGAUUCACACAGGACACCGAAUAGGACAGGAGAAGUACUCCAGAUAUAACAAACUGACCCCAGCCCCCCGACACAUAAACUACUGCAGCAUAAAUACUGGAGGCUGAGACAGGAGGGGUCAGGAGACACUGUGGCCCCAUCCGAGG